Panthera uncia (snow leopard) is the source of this 3192-nucleotide long non-coding RNA. RefSeq lists it as uncharacterized. The transcript has 3 exons. Lineage: Eukaryota; Metazoa; Chordata; Mammalia; Carnivora; Felidae. The record is from RefSeq and is a predicted model, not a curated record.
AACGUUAUGCAAAAUGGCACCAAUUUGCCAGCCCUGUUCUAAGUUAAUAAGAUCUACUGUAUGUGUGUGAAUGCAGGUACCACUUGGAAUGUCCUCAGCUGAAAUACUCUCAUGUUUUCAAUUUCCGUUUCAGAUGCAUCUUUUUGGGAAAACCGUUUUCUGCCCAAAGGAAAUCAGCUUUCCUGUUUUCUGUUGUUAUCAAUAUUGCUGUUUGGGUUCCCUUGAGUGUGGAUUAAAUGGCAGCUGAGAAAUCUUGUUGGGACCACCUCUUCCCAUUGCCUUUCAAAGUCAAGUCUUGACAAGAAAUGAGUUCUUCCCAAAGAUAAGUACAUUGGAGGUUGGGUCUGGUGGUAGCUUCCUAAUGAAUUUGUGGUGCACAGAUCUGUCCUUGAGCUAUUUUCUGUAAUGUUCUCACUGCAGUGUCCCAUGACUGAUCUUAUUUCAGAGAAUUGUAUGAGUUUUGCAGCAAAUUACAAGGAAGGCCUGGUUCCUAAAAUCAGCUGAAGGCCAAUUAAGGUUUCUUGGGGCGCUUUCCUUCAGCUGCAAUGUCAUCAUAAAUGACUCUCCAGUGCAGUGGAGGGCUGACAUUUUGUAAGCUAAUACUAUAUUUUGGGAGUGAUUAAAAUCUACAUCUCAGUCACCUGCCUGACCAACUGCCAGUGGCCACAAAACAAAAAGAUUACAGUCAAUUCAUAUCCAUUAGGAAAAUGACGUGAAACACUAUUGGUUUAGGCUCAGUGGGGCUUAAUCUGAUUUCAGGAAGAAAGAAGAGGUGUGCAAUUAAAGGAGAGAGGAAAGGCAGAAAAGAAAAUCAAAUGAGAAUUUUCCCCCAAAACCCAAGGCCUUUUUGGUUUGUUCAUUUCCAUAAGGAUUUAUUAAGUACCUGUUGAGUUCUUCCCACUAUGGUAGACCCUGAAAGGGAGGAAGGAGAAAACACUAGCAAUGCCUGUCCUCAGAAUUUGCAGUGAAGUAUGGGGGAAAUACUACACACUGAGGAGGUGGCCAGAGAAUUAGCAGAUUCAUGUUAGUAGGAAUUUAAAAAUAUUCUUUAGGUGCCUGGCACAGUUAGAAAAGGAAAAGAAGAUAAGUGAGAAAGGAUAGUUGACAUCUACAUGCUCUUACUGUGUGCUUCACAUUAAGUUUUACACAUAUUAACUCACCUUUACAACAACCCUACAUACCAUUAUUAUUCCCACUUUACGGAUGAGGAAACUGAGGCCCACAGUAGUGAAGAAACUUGCCUGAGAUCACACAGUCCGCAAGAGGAAGAGCUGGGGUUUGCAUACAGCUAGUCUGGUCCUAGAAUCUGAGGUUUUACCAUUAUUCUAUGUGGCCUCCCAAGGUGAUGGGGUAUUCCUGACCCAUGAGGAUUUUCAUUCUCCAUGGGGAGAUGAGGUCUAGGUGUGGGGAUAAUUAAGCUACAGGUAGAGGGUGUAACAGUGGAGGCAGGGAAUAGAGUGAUUGAUGACUUCAGAAAGGUGGGUGUGCUAACUGAAGUCUGGACAUGGAUGUGUAUAUGUUGGGGGAAGCUCUGCACAGAGGGAUAGAGAAGGUUCUAACCCAGGAAAAGAGCACGAGCAGAGGAGACUGAAAGAAUGGCUACAAUUUGCAGUUACUUGUUUGUAGUUGUCCAAGAAGAGAAAUCAUUAAAUCAAAGGGUGCCUUCUUACAAGGACAAGGGUUUAUAGCACUAGGGACAAGAGCAAGGAUGUGGAAUCUGACAGACUAAAUUUAAAGUUCGAUUGUGUCAUGCUCCUCAAGUGACCUUGAGAGAGUUACCUAGCCUUUAUCGGCAAAUGCAAGAUGGAAAGAACGGCUAUAGAAGAAUUGGGAAAGUCUCUCAUCUUGUAACAGAGCUCAUUUAUUUACUUCUCCAAAAAUAUUCAUUAGGAACCAAUUACCUGCCAUGUGCUGUGCUAGAUGUUGGGACAAUGAACAAGGCAAACAUGAGUGUUGCUCUCUUAGAGCUUGUAUUCUAACUGGGGAGGCAACACAAUAAACAAGCAGUAAUCAACAAGUAAUCUUAGGAUAUGAGAGGGAUUUUGAAGAAAACAUAGGGUUGGGGCCAAGUAGAAUUAAUGGCUUUUACUCUGCCAAGGACAGUGUUUGUCAGGUAGGAGGCAAUCAAAACACAGGAGCUUUCAUUUUACAUUUAUUAAUAGCUCCAUCUUGAAAUUCAACAUGUAAGAGGAAGCCAAGGUAUCAGAUACUCUUUGCUGCCUACCAGGAGGGCAUUUCUCCUUUCACCUUGCUUACAGACCCCUCUUUAAUCCAAGAUUCAUCUUAUGCCCACAGGCAAGGUGUUGGGGUUACAGGAAGCUCAGGAUGGAUGUCUACAUCUCCAAGGAACUAUCACUUUCUACCAAAAUGUGAGAAGAAACUCUGGAAUGCAAUGUCAUGAGGAUGGGAACUGUUGUGUAUUCACUGCUUUCCCCUCAGUGCCCAGGACAGUUCCCAGCACAGAAUAGGGGCUCAACAAAUGUCUGUGGAAUUAUUAAACAGGUCAAUUGAAAUAAACAUGGAUAUAUUUUAGAAUCACACAAGCAUGGCAUAAAAUUUUAAAAAUCCAAACAGAUGGCAGUGCCCAUGCUGCAUUUGAAACAUGGGCUUCCUCAGACUCUGCUCUGAAAUUGCAAUGGAGGAAACCAGUGGUUUCAAGGAACAGAAAUGCAGGGGAAGCUGGGCCAGCCUCAGCUCUACAAGGGUGGUCACCAGCUCCGGGACUGACAAGGGCCAUAGUACAAGACGGAGACGAAGUGCCGAGUUCCCAGAGGCUGUUGGUAGUGGCGAGGCCUGUACCAUGAGCGGUGUCUUCUGGAAGAAUGUCGGGAAGAAGUUUGAAGACAGGCUGGCCCGAAUUCACAGCCCAGGAGAGGUCUGACUUAAAAAUAAAUCCUUGUGUAAAUUAAAAAAGGAAUCUAAGCAAGCCUAUCUAUAAAGUCAGGAUGUUACUGACUGUUAAUUGGUAAUAUAUAUGGCUUAAUAAGAAGACCAUAAACUGGGUUCUGUUUAAUUCUUUAAAUCUUUUUCUGCAUAUAUAGCAUCUUUUUACUCACUUAUUACAAAGUAUCUCACAUAACUCACCUAGAUGUUUGGCCAGAGUGAAUUUUAUGUAGCAUUGAUAUAUGUCAUCAUACUGAACUUGUGUAUUAGACAUGGAAAUAUACUGAAACAUGUAAUUUCUCAUGUUGC